This is a non-coding RNA of Pelobates cultripes (western spadefoot toad), 201 nucleotides long. The record is from the annotation of a GenBank genome assembly. NCBI's taxonomy places the organism in Eukaryota, Metazoa, Chordata, Amphibia, Anura, Pelobatidae.
GCAGUGUGUGUGUUGUGUUAGUGUAUGCAGUGUGUGUGUUAUUGUAUGCAGUGUGUGUUGUUAGUGUGUGAUCUGGGGUGAGGGGGAGGAAGGGGCAUUUUAACAUUAAUUUUUUAUUAAUUUAAUUAAAUGUUUCUCCCCCCUCCCUGCUUACCUGUGUCCAGGGAGGGGGGAGAUUCCAUCCCUGGUGGUCCGGUGGGG